RNAcentral lists this long non-coding RNA (1076 nucleotides) under Anthonomus grandis grandis. RNAcentral describes it as "uncharacterized LOC126749615". The record is from RNAcentral. Lineage: Eukaryota; Metazoa; Arthropoda; Insecta; Coleoptera; Curculionidae.
GUUAUGUGUUUUGCACCAGAUUGAAAGCAUCAUAGCGAAAAACGGACCUGUCAUAUCUUUAAAUUUUCAAAAGAGCCCCUGGAAAAAGAAAAAUGAAUAUCUUUGCCAAGGAAUAGGUACUAAGGCAAAUGGAUAAAAAACCUUCAGUCCAUGCAUUGGUAUGUAAUUGUUGACAAAAAUACAAUGAAUGGCCUCACUACUUUUCCACAUGCAAAGAGUUUAACCAAGGAGAAAUUAAAGAAAUUGUCAAAAACCUAGGUAAAUACAGAAUUGCUUAGUACAAACAUAUCUAUACCCAGUACAAGUUCGUCCACUUCUUUGAAGCAUGGUACUUCAAACAGAAACACUGUCAACAAUUUUGUAGAAGGUGAGCCGGUGUCAAAUUCCAGUAAGGGACAUGAUUUCAAUUUUGCACCAACAGCAGAGCUAAAAUUCAUUUUGCCGCAAAAAACUGGAGGAUGUGAAAGAAAAAAGUGCAGAAGUUAAAAUUAAGUUUUUCAUAUGAGCACAUAAAAAAUAAUCAUGACAAAGUUCAGUUGUAUACAGGUUUGACAUGUAAUAAAUAUUUUUGUAAUCUUAUUAAGUUAAUUAGUUUUAUAUAUUAUUUAAAUAAUAAUUGUAUACUUCACAUAGAAUAUGCAGAAAUUAUAUGUACAUAUAUAAAUUUUUUUAUUAAGAUAAGGACAACAUGUAUUAAAGCAUAACACAUAAUAUAAACACACACGUAAUAUCUUCAUUAAAAAUUAUGAUUGUAUGUUAUGUAGCAUUAGAGCCUAAAAACAUUAAGGAGAAUAAAGGUCGUUAUUGGCAAAUGACAAUAUUAUUUUCUCUAUUUCCUACAUUUUUGGUGAAGGGAAUAGGCUCUGCCCUAAAAAGCCAGGUUAAACCAAGAGCAAAAAAGUUUAGGUCUCAUGAGUGUAAGUAAAGUAAACCUUUCUAUUAAAAAGGCCAUCCAAGAUAAAAAAAAAUAUACUAAAAAUAUUAAUGUUAAUUCUUUAGCGACAUCUAGGGUGGAUAUGCUGAAUCAACUCAUCAAUUAAUUCACUGUCGUACUGAUGAAAGUUAUGGCGUAUUCA